AAGCAUGAUAAGAGAUGAAAUGUGAGAUAUGGAAAGUUUUGAUACAUACCUUGGAUAUUUAAUUUAUUUUGAUGGUUAGUACUUUUGAAAGCUCUUGCAUAAGAAAUUUAAAAUAUAAUUAGUUAAAGGAGAAAAAACAAACUUCGACUACUUCUCAUUAUAGUUUGUAAUUGAAAAUUAUUAAUAGGUUUUGCAAAUUGCUUCUCGAAUAUACAAAGACAUGAAUUCUUUCUCAAACAUACAAAAAUUCCUAAUUUAGCAUGUAUUUAGGCCAUUCCAUAGGCUUGAUGUUCAACCCAAGUCUACUAUAUACUAGCCCACAAUGGCUCUAACGCUUAUUGUUCAACCCAAAUGUAAUACUAGGCCCAAAAAUGCUUUAAGUGUUCUUUGACUUCAAGAUUCAUAAAAGGAAAUUUCUAGAGUCUUAAUUUAUCAUCAUAUCAAACAUUGAACUUGAAUCAUUGAUGUGUAUAAAUGAAUUUAAAUUAUUGAACAAAAAAAAUGACUUCAUUAUGUAAAGGAAUUAGACGUAGAUACAACUAAAUGAUAAAAUUUUAAGAAAGAAUAGAUAUAGAAUUAGGUUUUAGAUUGAUUGUUAUCAAUCUACUAGUUAAAAUUUUAAGAUAGAGAAUAGGUACCUUAUGCCUAACUCAUAAUAUGAGUUGUUGAUAUAUAUGAUAAAAUUAUAUAAAAGAAUGAAAAUAAGUUAC
Long non-coding RNA from Vitis riparia (riverbank grape), 710 nucleotides. RefSeq lists it as uncharacterized. The transcript has 2 exons. Lineage: Eukaryota; Viridiplantae; Streptophyta; Magnoliopsida; Vitales; Vitaceae. The record is from RefSeq and is a predicted model, not a curated record.